UUGGAGGGCAAGUCUGGUGCCAGCAGCCGCGGUAAUUCCAGCUCCAAUAGCGUAUAUUAAAGUUGUUGCAGUUAAAAAGCUCGUAGUUGAAUUUCGGGAUCAAUAUAUCGGUCGUGCCAUCGGUACGUACUGGUAUGAUUGGUUUCUCCUUUCUGACGAACCAUGAUGUCAUUAAUUUGGUGUUAUGGGAAGUUAGGACUGUUACUUUGAAAAAAUUAGAGUGUUUAAAGCAGGCUUUAGCUUGAAUACAUUAGCAUGGAAUAAUGAAAUAGGACGUUCGAACCUAUUUUGUUGGUUUCUAGGAUCAACGUAAUGAUUAAUAGGGAUAGUUGGGGGCAUUAGUAUUCAAUUGUCAGAGGUGAAAUUCUUGGAUUUAUUGAAGACUAACUACUGCGAAAGCAUUUGCCAUGGAUGUUUUCAUUAAUCAAGAACGAAAGUUAGGGGAUCGAAGACGAUCAGAUACCGUCGUAGUCUUAACCAUAAACUAUGCCGACUAGGGAUCGGAUGAUGUUAAUUUUUUAAUGACUCAUUCGGCGCCUUACGGGAAAC
RNAcentral lists this ribosomal RNA (549 nucleotides) under uncultured Glomus. RNAcentral's name for it is "SSU rRNA". It matches the Rfam family "Eukaryotic small subunit ribosomal RNA", at positions 548 to 1098 of the family's 1831-position model. Lineage: Eukaryota; Fungi; Glomeromycota; Glomeromycetes; Glomerales; Glomeraceae. The record is from RNAcentral.